This 497-nucleotide ribosomal RNA is filed under the name uncultured bacterium. RNAcentral describes it as "partial 16S ribosomal RNA". It matches the Rfam family "Bacterial small subunit ribosomal RNA", at positions 28 to 507 of the family's 1533-position model. The record is from RNAcentral.
GAUGAACGCUGGCGGCGUGCCUAAUACAUGCAAGUCGAGCGAACGGACGAGAAGCUUGCUCCUCUGAUGUUAGCGGCGGACGGGUGAGUAACACGUGGAUAACCUACCUAUAAGACUGGGAUAACUUCGGGAAACCGGAGCUAAUACCGGAUGAUAUUUUUAACCGCAUGGUUCAAGAGUGAAAGACGGUCUUGCUGUCACUUAUAGAUGGAUCCGCGCUGCAUUAGCUAGUUGGUAAGGUAACGGCAUACCAAGGCAACGAUGCAUAGCCGACCUGAGAGGGUAGGCGGCCACACUGGACCUGAGACACGGUCCAGACUCCAACGGUAGGAGGCGGAGGGGAAUCUACUAUUAUUGACGGAAGCCUGGCGGGGCAACGCCGCGUGGGGGGUGAGGGGCUUGGGAUCGGAAAACUCUGUUGUUAGGAAGCGACGUAAGUGUGAGUAACUGGUCAGAUCUUGACGGUACCUAAUCAGAAAGGCACGGCUAACUACGUG